RNAcentral lists this ribosomal RNA (433 nucleotides) under uncultured bacterium. RNAcentral's name for it is "partial 16S ribosomal RNA". It matches the Rfam family "Bacterial small subunit ribosomal RNA", at positions 29 to 507 of the family's 1533-position model. The record is from RNAcentral.
AACGAACGCUGGCGGCAUGCCUAACACAUGCAAGUCGAACGAGACCUUCGGGUCUAGUGGCGCACGGGUGCGUAACGCGUGGUAACCUGCCCUUAGGUUCGGAAUAACUCCCCGAAAGGGGUGCUAAUACCGGAUAAUGUCUUCGGACCAAAGAUUUAUCGCCUUUGGAUGGGCCCGCGUUGGAUUAGCUAGUUGGUAGGGUAAAAGCCUACCAAGGCGACGAUCCAUAGCUGGUCUGAGAGGAUGAUCAGCCACACUGGGACUGAGACACGGCCCAGACUCCUACGGGAGGCAGCAGUGGGGAAUAUUGGACAAUGGGCGAAAGCCUGAUCCAGCAAUGCCGCGUGAGUGAUGAAGGCCUUAGGGUUGUAAAGCUCUUUUAACCGGGAUGAUAAUGACAGUACCGGGAGAAUAAGCUCCGGCUAACUCCGUG